This is a long non-coding RNA of Pseudophryne corroboree (corroboree frog), 482 nucleotides long. RefSeq lists it as uncharacterized. The record is from RefSeq and is a predicted model, not a curated record. The transcript is spliced from 4 exons. NCBI's taxonomy places the organism in Eukaryota, Metazoa, Chordata, Amphibia, Anura, Myobatrachidae.
GUCUUUGUAGUUGGUCUGGUGUCACUGGAAUCCCACCAAGUGAUGUCGCUGUCUUGUACUUCUUGGUCUGUGCAGUCCUGAGGUUCACCAGUGGGUGCUGCUGUCUGGAGUAAUGGAUUGUACCUGCGAGAGGUUAAUCUUAUUGAUGCAUGAUGGUCACCUGACUCAGCAGCUGUUAUAAAUGACCACUGAGACAAUGUUAGUGCUGUCUGAAGGCGUGGCCUGUUACCGAUUCUUUUUACCUUGGACUUAUAGUCAAGUAUACCCCGUCUUGUACCCCAGUGUAGCUAUACUUUCUUCAGAUGUCCAUGCAACUUAUAAGUGUAGCUAUACUUUCUUCAGAUGUCCAUGCAACUUAUAAGCGUACUUCCACCCCAAGGUGUGCUAUUCCUACAGCGUGUACCUCCACUGAUUGCACACCCUGCCAGAAGCAACCUACUUAGUGCACCCAGGACGGUUGCCUCGGAUAGUUCCACCACAGG